RNAcentral lists this ribosomal RNA (206 nucleotides) under uncultured bacterium. Its description in RNAcentral is "partial 16S ribosomal RNA". It matches the Rfam family "Bacterial small subunit ribosomal RNA", at positions 568 to 774 of the family's 1533-position model. The record is from RNAcentral.
UGCGUAGGUGGUUUCUUAAGUCAGAGGUGAAAGGCUACGGCUCAACCGUAGUAAGCCUUUGAAACUGGGAAACCUGAGUGCAGGAGAGGAGAGUGGAAUUCCUAGUGUAGCGGCGAAAUGCGUAGAUAUUAGGAGGAACACCAGUUGCGAAGGCGGCUCUCUGGACUGUAACUGACACUGAGGCACGAAAGCGUGGGGAGCAAACA